AUGGGGCUGAGGGUCACUCAGUACUACAUCUUUGUUAUAAUGUUAACCAAAGGUGUCAGCAGUGAUGAGAUCAGACUGGACCAGUCUCCUGCUGUGGUAAAGAGACCUGGAGAAACUGUGAAGAUCUCCUGUAAGAUUCACGGCUUUGAUAUGACUGAGUACCUCAUGCACUGGAUCAGACAGAAACCAGGGAAAGCUCUGGAAUGGCUUGGAUAUGUGAACUCUGGUACAACAGAUGAACCCACAUACGCAGACUCAGUGAAAGGGCAUUUUCUCCUCUCAGAAGACGUCUCAGCAAGCACACAGUACUUAGAGGCCAAGACCCUGAGGACAGAGGAUACUGCGGUUUAUUACUGCGCCCGAAGUCCCACAGUGACUGGAGCUGAGGAAGCAGCUGUACAAAAACCAGACACACAUUGUGGUGUUGGAGGUGUGGAGCUCACUCAGACAGACUCUGUGCUGGUGAAGCCUGGAGAGUCGUUCUCCAUCUCUUGUAAGAUCUCAGUGUCGAGUUAUUGUAUUCACUGGAUACGGCAACCUGCUGGAAAAGCACUGGAAUGUCUCGGAUAUCUGUAUAGCGGUGAUAGCACUGAUCUCAAAGACACGAUGAAGAGCAAGAUCAGUCUCAGCCAGGACAAAUCCAGCAGCACAGUUUAUUCAAGAGGACAAAACUUUCAGGUCGAGGACACGGCUGUAUGUCAGUAUUUGUAA
Non-coding RNA from Tachysurus vachellii, 711 nucleotides. NCBI's taxonomy places the organism in Eukaryota, Metazoa, Chordata, Actinopteri, Siluriformes, Bagridae. The record is from the annotation of a RefSeq genome assembly.